Molecule: ribosomal RNA, 1464 nt
Filed under: Salmonella enterica
Lineage: Bacteria; Pseudomonadati; Pseudomonadota; Gammaproteobacteria; Enterobacterales; Enterobacteriaceae
Also listed under: 2 other names
Description: partial 23S ribosomal RNA
Rfam family: Bacterial large subunit ribosomal RNA
Source: RNAcentral
GAAUGCUGACAUAAGUAACGAUAAAGCGGGUGAAAAGCCCGCUCGCCGGAAGACCAAGGGUUCCUGUCCAACGUUAAUCGGGGCAGGGUGAGUCGACCCCUAAGGCGAGGCCGAAAGGCGUAGUCGAUGGGAAACGGGUUAAUAUUCCCGUACUUGGUGUUACUGCGAAGGGGGGACGGAGAAGGCUAUGUUGGCCGGGCGACGGUUGUCCCGGUUUAAGCGUGUAGGUGUGUGUUCCAGGUAAAUCCGGUUCACUUUAACACUGAGGCGUGACGACGAGGCACUACGGUGCUGAAGCAACAAAUGCCCUGCUUCCAGGAAAAGCCUCUAAGCAUCAGGUAACAUCAAAUCGUACCCCAAACCGACACAGGUGGUCAGGUAGAGAAUACCAAGGCGCUUGAGAGAACUCGGGUGAAGGAACUAGGCAAAAUGGUGCCGUAACUUCGGGAGAAGGCACGCUGACACGUAGGUGAAGUGAUUUACUCAUGGAGCUGAAGUCAGUCGAAGAUACCAGCUGGCUGCAACUGUUUAUUAAAAACACAGCACUGUGCAAACACGAAAGUGGACGUAUACGGUGUGACGCCUGCCCGGUGCCGGAAGGUUAAUUGAUGGGGUCAGCGCAAGCGAAGCUCCUGAUCGAAGCCCCGGUAAACGGCGGCCGUAACUAUAACGGUCCUAAGGUAGCGAAAUUCCUUGUCGGGUAAGUUCCGACCUGCACGAAUGGCGUAAUGAUGGCCAGGCUGUCUCCACCCGAGACUCAGUGAAAUUGAACUCGCUGUGAAGAUGCAGUGUACCCGCGGCAAGACGGAAAGACCCCGUGAACCUUUACUAUAGCUUGACACUGAACAUUGAGCCUUGAUGUGUAGGAUAGGUGGGAGGCUUUGAAGUGUGGACGCCAGUCUGCAUGGAGCCGACCUUGAAAUACCACCCUUUAAUGUUUGAUGUUCUAACGUGGACCCGUAAUCCGGGUUGCGGACAGUGUCUGGUGGGUAGUUUGACUGGGGCGGUCUCCUCCUAAAGAGUAACGGAGGAGCACGAAGGUUGGCUAAUCCUGGUCGGACAUCAGGAGGUUAGUGCAAUGGCAUAAGCCAGCUUGACUGCGAGCGUGACGGCGCGAGCAGGUGCGAAAGCAGGUCAUAGUGAUCCGGUGGUUCUGAAUGGAAGGGCCAUCGCUCAACGGAUAAAAGGUACUCCGGGGAUAACAGGCUGAUACCGCCCAAGAGUUCAUAUCGACGGCGGUGUUUGGCACCUCGAUGUCGGCUCAUCACAUCCUGGGGCUGAAGUAGGUCCCAAGGGUAUGGCUGUUCGCCAUUUAAAGUGGUACGCGAGCUGGGUUUAGAACGUCGUGAGACAGUUCGGUCCCUAUCUGCCGUGGGCGCUGGAGAACUGAGGGGGGCUGCUCCUAGUACGAGAGGACCGGAGUGGACGCAUCACUGGUGUUCGGGUUGUCAUGCCAAUGGCACU